Molecule: non-coding RNA, 74 nt
Organism: Podarcis lilfordi (Lilford's wall lizard)
Lineage: Eukaryota; Metazoa; Chordata; Lepidosauria; Squamata; Lacertidae
Source: the annotation of a GenBank genome assembly
UGCCAGUUAGCUCAGUUGGUUGGAGUGUGGUGCUUGUGAUGCCAAGGUCGCAGGCUCAAUCCCUGUACAGGCCA